RNAcentral lists this long non-coding RNA (466 nucleotides) under Androctonus crassicauda. The record is from RNAcentral. Lineage: Eukaryota; Metazoa; Arthropoda; Arachnida; Scorpiones; Buthidae.
UCGUUUUUAUCCGGUUCGGAAGCAUCCUUUGUGAGUUAUUGCUUUUGUAAAAAAUAAAAGAAUGACCAUCCUUGAUCUGAGACCAAGUGGUGAAUACUUGCAACCCUAUAAAAAUUCCACCGUUGGAUAUAAAUACAAUGAAGAUUGAUGAGAACAGGGAGAAUAAACGGACACUAUGUAUGUGAAUAGAUACAGCUGGUGUUCUCACAAGAAAAAACGACUCUCAGAUAUGGGAGAAAACAACUAUCAGCAAGGAAAGAGAGCAAGAAUGACGACAGACUCACAAUCAACUAAAUGUAAGAAGUCUCUCUCUCCAGAUAAGUCUUCCUUGGGCCAUGCUACAUUACAACAUUUUGAUAUCUGCCCUCCUUUCCCUCUUUUAUUUAAUAUAUGAAAAAUUUGAGGGUCUCAUUUUCAAUUAUUGUGCUUUUUUUUUUUAAUAAACAUUUGUUCUGUUAUAGAAAAG